GUUAUAUGGUCAAGCGAAUAAGCGCACACGGUGGAUGCCUAGGCGGUCAGAGGCGAUGAAGGACGUGGUAGCCUGCGAAAAGUGUCGGGGAGCUGGCAACAAGCUUUGAUCCGGCAAUAUCCGAAUGGGGAAACCCACUGCUUCGGCAGUAUCCUGCAGUGAAUUCAUAGCUGCUGGAAGCGAACCCGGUGAACUGAAAUAUCUAAGUAACCGGAGGAAAAGAAAUCAACCGAGAUUCCCUAAGUAGUGACGAGCGAACGGGGAACAGCCCUUAAGCUGGAAUGGCUUUAGAAAAACAAUCUGGAAAGAUUGGCCAUAGAAGGUGAUAGCCCUGUAUUUAAAAGGGCCAUUCCAGUGAAGACGAGUAGGGCGGGGCACGUGAAACCCUGUCUGAAUAUGGGGGGACCAUCCUCCAAGGCUAAAUACUCCUGACCGACCGAUAGUGAACCAGUACCGUGAGGGAAAGGCGAAAAGAACCCCGGAGAGGGGAGUGAAAUAGAUCCUGAAACCGUGUGCGUACAAGCAGUAGGAGCUCGCAAGAGUGACUGCGUACCUUUUGUAUAAUGGGUCAGCGACUUACUGUUCGUGGCAAGCUUAACCGUAUAGGGGAGGCGAAGGGAAACCGAGUCUGAUAAGGGCGCAUAGUCGCGGGCAGUAGACCCGAAACCGGGUGAUCUAGUCAUGGCCAGGGUGAAGGUGCCGUAACAGGUACUGGAGGCCCGAACCCACGUCUGUUGCAAAAGACGGGGAUGAGCUGUGAUUAGGAGUGAAAAGCUAAUCGAACCCGGAGAUAGCUGGUUCUCCUCGAAAGCUAUUUAGGUAGCGCCUCGGACGAAUACUACUGGGGGUAGAGCACUGUUAUGGCUAGGGGGUCAUCGCGACUUACCAAACCAUUGCAAACUCCGAAUACCAGUACGUACUAUCCGGGAGACACACGGCGGGUGCUAACGUCCGUCGUGAAAAGGGAAACAACCCAGACCCACAGCUAAGGUCCCAAAUUCACUGCUAAGUGGAAAACGAUGUGGAAAGGCACAGACAGCCAGGAGGUUGGCUUAGAAGCAGCCACCCUUUAAAGAAAGCGUAAUAGCUCACUGGUCGAGUCGGUCUGCGCGGAAGAUUUAACGGGGCUAAGCAGUGAACCGAAGCUUGGGGUGCAUAAAACUUGUUUUAUGCGCGGUAGAGGAGCGUUCCGUAAGCCUGCGAAGGUGGAUUGAGAAGUCUGCUGGAGGUAUCGGAAGUGCGAAUGCUGACAUGAGUAACGAUAAUGCGGGUGAAAAGCCCGCACGCCGAAAGCCCAAGGUUUCCUUGCGCAACGUUAAUCGACGCAGGGUUAGUCGGUCCCUAAGGCGAGGGCGAAAGCCGUAGUCGAUGGGAAGCAGGUUAAUAUUCCUGCACCUCGCGUGAGUGCGAUGGAGGGACGGAGAAGGUUAGGUGUACCGGGCGUUGGUUGUCCCGGGGAAAGGCGGUAGGUUUGGAUCUUUGGCAAAUCCGGGAUCCUUUAAGACCGAGCACCGAGACGAGCCUUUAUGGCGAAGUCACUGAUACCACGCUUCCAGGAAAAGCUCCUAAGCUUCAGCUCACGAAGACCGUACCGUAAACCGACACAGGUGGGUAGGAUGAGAAUUCUCAGGCGCUUGAGAGAACUCGGGUGAAGGAACUAGGCAACAUGGCACCGUAACUUCGGGAGAAGGUGCACCCUUUUUGGUGGCUCAUGCGAGCUAUAGCUGAAGAGGGUCGCAGAAACCAGGCCGCUGCGACUGUUUAUCAAAAACACAGCACUCUGCAAACACGAAAGUGGACGUAUAGGGUGUGACGCCUGCCCGGUGCUGGAAGGUUAAUUGAUGGGGUCAGCCGCAAGGCGAAGCUCUUGAUCGAAGCCCCAGUAAACGGCGGCCGUAACUAUAACGGUCCUAAGGUAGCGAAAUUCCUUGUCGGGUAAGUUCCGACCUGCACGAAUGGCGUAACGACAGCGGCGCUGUCUCCACCCGAGACUCAGUGAAAUUGAAAUCGCUGUGAAGAUGCAGCGUUCCCGUGGCAAGACGGAAAGACCCCGUGAACCUUUACUAUAGCUUUACACUGAACGUUGAGUUCGUCUGUGUAGGAUAGGUGGGAGGCUAUGAAACUGUGGCGCUAGCUGCAGUGGAGCCAUCCUUGAAAUACCACCCUGUCGUGCUUGACGUUCUAACCUAGAUCCGUUAUCCGGAUCAGGGACCGUGUAUGGUGGGUAGUUUGACUGGGGCGGUCUCCUCCUAAAGAGUAACGGAGGAGCACGAAGGUACGCUCAGCGCGGUCGGACAUCGCGCACUGUGUGCAAAGGCAUAAGCGUGCUUGACUGCAAGAUCGACGGAUCAAGCAGGUACGAAAGUAGGUCUUAGUGAUCCGGUGGUUCUGUAUGGAAGGGCCAUCGCUCAACGGAUAAAAGGUACUCCGGGGAUAACAGGCUGAUACCGCCCAAGAGUUCAUAUCGACGGCGGUGUUUGGCACCUCGAUGUCGGCUCAUCACAUCCUGGGGCUGUAGUCGGUCCCAAGGGUAUGGCUGUUCGCCAUUUAAAGUGGUACGCGAGCUGGGUUCAGAACGUCGUGAGACAGUUCGGUCCCUAUCUGCCAUGGGCGUUGGAAGUUUGAGAGGGGCUGCUCCUAGUACGAGAGGACCGGAGUGGACGAACCUCUGGUGUUCCGGUUGUCACGCCAGUGGCAUUGCCGGGUAGCUAUGUUCGGAAGCGAUAACCGCUGAAAGCAUCUAAGCGGGAAGCGCGCCUCAAGAUGAGACUUCCCGGGGCACAAGCCCCCUAAAGGAACCAUAUAGACUAUGUGGUUGAUAGGUCAGGUGUGUAAGUACAGCAAUGUAUUGAGCUAACUGAUACUAAUGAUCCGUGCGGCUUGACCAUAUAACCUCA
RNAcentral lists this ribosomal RNA (2897 nucleotides) under Xanthomonas pisi. Its description in RNAcentral is "bacterial LSU rRNA". It matches the Rfam family "Bacterial large subunit ribosomal RNA". The record is from RNAcentral. Lineage: Bacteria; Pseudomonadati; Pseudomonadota; Gammaproteobacteria; Lysobacterales; Lysobacteraceae. RNAcentral also lists the same sequence under 1 other name.